This 223-nucleotide unclassified non-coding RNA is filed under the name Glomus sp. Its description in RNAcentral is "partial contains 5.8S ribosomal RNA and internal transcribed spacer 2". The stretch from base 1 to 71 matches the Rfam family "5.8S ribosomal RNA", at positions 84 to 154 of the family's 154-position model. The record is from RNAcentral. Lineage: Eukaryota; Fungi; Glomeromycota; Glomeromycetes; Glomerales; Glomeraceae.
GUGAAUCAUCGAAUUUUUGAACGCAAAUUGCACUUUCGGGUAUUCCGGGGAGUAUGCCUGUUUGAGGGUCGGCUAAAUAAAAAUCGGUAUUGUUGCUGCCUUUCGUGGUGACGCGGCUGGAGUUGGGAGUCGUACCUUCGGUUAAGUGACUUAAAAUGUUUGCAUGAUUUUCGAACGAAUUUAAAUAGCUUACGUACGUUUGAGAAAUAGAAUGAUUAUGAGG